AUCAGUGAGAUAUCUAAUAAAGCUUCCUACUAGUAGAAGCCCUGUGUGUAUGUGUGCGUGUGUGAAGCACCUCAAAACAGAGAGCUGUGAGUGUGAAGCUCAUAGAGAGAGAGAGAGUCCUGGGCUUGCGCAAAAAUUUGGAACCCUCAGCAGGUGG
Lolium perenne is the source of this 157-nucleotide long non-coding RNA. RefSeq lists it as uncharacterized. The record is from RefSeq and is a predicted model, not a curated record. NCBI's taxonomy places the organism in Eukaryota, Viridiplantae, Streptophyta, Magnoliopsida, Poales, Poaceae.